GACGAACGCUGGCGGCGUGCCUAACACAUGCAAGUCGAACGGAGACGAUAGCAAUAUUGUCUUAGUGGCGGACGGGUGAGUAACGCGUGAGUAACCUGCCUUUCGGAGGGGGACAACAGCUGGAAACGGCUGCUAAUACCGCAUAACGUAUAUUGAGGGCAUCCUCGAUAUACCAAAGAUUUAUCGCCGAAAGAUGGACUCGCGUCUGAUUAGCUAGUUGGUGAGGCAAUAGCUUACCAAGGCGAUGAUCAGUAGCUGGUCCGAGAGGAUGAUCAGCCACACUGGGACUGAGACACGGCCCAGACUCCUACGGGAGGCAG
Molecule: ribosomal RNA, 320 nt
Filed under: uncultured Bacillota bacterium
Lineage: Bacteria; Bacillati; Bacillota
Description: bacterial SSU rRNA
Rfam family: Bacterial small subunit ribosomal RNA
Source: RNAcentral